GGCUCUAUGGUCUAGAGGUAUGAUUCCUGCUUUGGGAUGCUGACCACCAGCGAACAAAAUUGCAGGAGGCCCCGGGUUCGAAUCCCGGUGGAGCCC
This is a non-coding RNA of Xylariaceae sp. FL1272, 96 nucleotides long. Lineage: Eukaryota; Fungi; Ascomycota; Sordariomycetes; Xylariales; Xylariaceae. The record is from the annotation of a GenBank genome assembly.